GAUGAACGCUGGCGGCGUGCUUAAUACAUGCAAGUCGAACGAAGCGCCUCUCCCGAAGAUAGACCCAGCUUGCUGGGGAUUGAUUCACCUGAGGUGACUGAGUGGCGGACGGGUGAGUAACGCGUGGGUAACCUGCCUUAUACAGGGGGAUAACAGUUGGAAACGACUGCUAAUACCGCAUAAGCGCACAGUACCGCAUGGUACAGUGUGAAAAACUCCGGUGGUAUAAGAUGGACCCGCGUCUGAUUAGCUAGUUGGUGAGGUAACGGCUUACCAAGGCAACGAUCAGUAGCCGACUUGAGAGAGUAAUCGGCCACAUUGGGACUGAGACACGGCCCAAACUCCUACGGGAGGCAGCAGUAGGGAAUAUUGCACAAUGGGGGAAACCCUGAUGCAGCGACGCCGCGUGAAGGAUGAAGUAUUUCGGUAUGUAAACUUCUAUCAGCAAGGAAGAAAAUGACGGUACUUGACUAAGAAGCCCCGGCUAAAUACGUGCCAGCAGCCGCAGUAA
Molecule: ribosomal RNA, 511 nt
Filed under: uncultured bacterium
Lineage: Bacteria
Description: partial 16S ribosomal RNA
Rfam family: Bacterial small subunit ribosomal RNA
Source: RNAcentral